AAAACAUAGCCUAUAGAAUAUAUUAUAGGUAUAUUUUGCCCAAUGUAUAAUUUAAUAAAUGGCCGCAGUACUUUGACUGUGCUAAGGUAGCAAAAUAAUUUGACUUUUAAUUGGAGCCCAGUAUGAAAGGAAUUAUGUUAGAGAAUUGUCUUUAUAGAAGAUUAUAAAAUUUACUUAUUUGGUGAAAAUACCAAAAGGAAAAUAUUAGACGAGAAGACCCUUAGAAUUUUAAGAAAAUUUAUAAUAAUCUUUUAUCAUGCUUUUUGUUGGGGCGACAAAGUAAACAAUAAUUAUUUCACAACUUACUUUUCUUAUAUACACCUAUAAAUUAAUAAAGAAAAUAAUUACCUAAGGGAUAACAGCAUAAUAAAUUUAUUUUGUUUGUGACCUCGAUGUUGGAUUAGGGACUAUUGUGGUUAGAAAUUAUAAUAGAAUCUUCUGUUCGAAGAACUUUUACCUACGUGAUCU
RNAcentral lists this ribosomal RNA (468 nucleotides) under Meghimatium pictum. Its description in RNAcentral is "partial 16S ribosomal RNA". The stretch from base 1 to 135 matches the Rfam family "Eukaryotic large subunit ribosomal RNA", at positions 2149 to 2328 of the family's 3401-position model. The record is from RNAcentral. Lineage: Eukaryota; Metazoa; Mollusca; Gastropoda; Stylommatophora; Philomycidae.